Molecule: non-coding RNA, 117 nt
Filed under: Victivallis lenta
Lineage: Bacteria; Pseudomonadati; Lentisphaerota; Lentisphaeria; Victivallales; Victivallaceae
Also listed under: 1 other name
Description: FMN riboswitch (RFN element)
Rfam family: FMN riboswitch aptamer (RFN element)
About the family: The RFN element is a highly conserved domain that is found frequently in the 5'-untranslated regions of prokaryotic mRNAs that encode for flavin mononucleotide (FMN) biosynthesis and transport proteins. This element is a metabolite-dependent riboswitch that directly binds FMN in the absence of proteins.
Source: RNAcentral
CGUCUUCGGGGCGGGGUGCAAUUCCCCACCGGCGGUACAGCCCGCGACCUUCCGCAAAACGGAAGCCGAACCGGUGGAAUUCCGGUGCCGACAGUAAAGUCUGGAUGAGAGAGGACA